ACGACGGGUAGCCGGCCUGAGAGGGCGACCGGCCACACUGGGACUGAGACACGGCCCAGACUCCUACGGGAGGCAGCAGUGGGGAAUAUUGCACAAUGGGCGAAAGCCUGAUGCAGCGACGCCGCGUGAGGGAUGACGGCCUUCGGGUUGUAAACCUCUUUCAGCAGGGAAGAAGCGAAAGUGACGGUACCUGCAGAAGAAGCGCCGGCUAACUACGUGCCAGCAGCCGCGGUAAUACGUAGGGCGCGAGCGUUGUCCGGAAUUAUUGGGCGUAAAGAGCUCGUAGGCGGCUUGUCACGUCGGUUGUGAAAGCCCGGGGCUUAACCCCGGGUCUGCAGUCGAUACGGGCAGGCUAGAGUUCGGUAGGGGAGAUCGGAAUUCCUGGUGUAGCGGUGAAAUGCGCAGAUAUCAGGAGGAACACCGGUGGCGAAGGCGGAUCUCUGGGCCGAUACUGACGCUGAGGAGCGAAAGCGUGGGGAGCGAACAGGAUUAGAUACCCUGGUAGUCCACGCCGUAAACGGUGGGCACUAGGUGUGGGCGACAUUCCACGUCGUCCGUGCCGCAGCUAACGCAUUAAGUGCCCCGCCUGGGGAGUACGGCCGCAAGGCUAA
This 611-nucleotide ribosomal RNA is filed under the name Streptomyces sp. Its description in RNAcentral is "bacterial SSU rRNA". It matches the Rfam family "Bacterial small subunit ribosomal RNA", at positions 276 to 897 of the family's 1533-position model. The record is from RNAcentral. Lineage: Bacteria; Bacillati; Actinomycetota; Actinomycetes; Kitasatosporales; Streptomycetaceae.